RNAcentral lists this ribosomal RNA (459 nucleotides) under uncultured bacterium. RNAcentral describes it as "partial 16S ribosomal RNA". It matches the Rfam family "Bacterial small subunit ribosomal RNA", at positions 338 to 795 of the family's 1533-position model. The record is from RNAcentral.
CCUACGGGGGGCAGCAGUGAGGAAUAUUGGUCAAUGGCCGGAAGGCUGAACCAGCCAUGCCGCGUGAAGGUCAGUGCCCUAUGGGCGUUAAACUUCUUUUGUGCGGGAGCAAUAAUGGUCAUGUGUGGCCAGACGAGAGUACCGUACGAAUAAGCAUCGGCUAACUCCGUGCCAGCAGCCGCGGUAAUACGGGGGAUGCAAGCGUUAUCCGGAUUUAUUGGGUUUAAAGGGCGUGUAGCCGGGCUGACAAGUCAGAUGUGAAAUUCCGGGGCUCAACCCCGGACCUGCAUUUGAAACUGUUGGUCUUGAGUAUCGGAGAGGCAGGCGGAAUUCCUAGUGUAGCGGUGAAAUGCGUAGAUAUUAGGAGGAACACCAGUGGCGAAGGCGGCCUGCUGGACGACAACUGACGGUGAGGCGCGAAAGCGUGGGGAGCAAACAGGAUUAGAUACCCGUGUAGUC